Small nucleolar RNA from Setaria italica (foxtail millet), 139 nucleotides. It matches the Rfam family "Small nucleolar RNA Z247". Rfam says of the family: Z247 is a member of the C/D class of snoRNA which contain the C (UGAUGA) and D (CUGA) box motifs. Most of the members of the box C/D family function in directing site-specific 2'-O-methylation of substrate RNAs. NCBI's taxonomy places the organism in Eukaryota, Viridiplantae, Streptophyta, Magnoliopsida, Poales, Poaceae. The record is from Rfam.
CCUCUUCGUGAUGAUGAAAUCAUCGCGUAUCUCUUGGCUGGACUUGGCUCAGAUUACGAUCCGUUCAUCACGUCUAUCACCACCAAGACUGAAGCCCUCUCCCUCAACGACGUCUACGCGUAUCUCAUGUGGUUUGAGU